Molecule: long non-coding RNA, 205 nt
Filed under: Elaeis guineensis (African oil palm)
Lineage: Eukaryota; Viridiplantae; Streptophyta; Magnoliopsida; Arecales; Arecaceae
Description: long non-coding RNA (EGUI_LNC020406)
Source: RNAcentral
AGUUAUAGAAGGACUAAUUUGCAAAUAUUACUAAUUAUUUGAUUUGAUCAAAUAUGGAUUGAAUUAAAUUAGAUCUAAUCUGAUUGGAUUUGAUUUAAUUUGGAUUUUCUAGUCUAAAUAGGAUUUGGAGUUAAUUUCUAAUUGAGUUUGACUCAAUUUAGAUUCAAAUCAGAUUAGAAUUUUGUUAAGAAACCAAAGUCUCACC